AAACUAGAGUGGCUACCAUUACUACUGGUAAUGAUUUCUUUUAAAAUAUGUAAGUAAGGGCCAGGGAUUUAGCUCAGUGGUUCUGGCGCCUGCCUUGCAAGCGCAAGGUCCUGAGUUCGAUUCCCAGUACCAAAAAAACCAAAACAACAACAACAACAACAAAAAAAACAAAAAAUAAAAUAUGUAAGUAAGACCAGCUAGAUAAAAUAAUUGGUCUUGCUGUGUUUGCCCUCAUUCACAGUGUCCCCAUAGCCAUCUUGCCCUAAUGGGGACAAUUUCCAGGUAUAACCAAGGGUUUGUGUAUAAAAUGUACCCUGGCUGAUGUUAAACACUGGCUCCUUGUAUUUUCACUAAAACAGCAAGCAUACCCAUUUUCUUGUGUACACUUCUCCUGUGGCCUUCCAUGGCAGAAGCCAGGGAAAAAAGGUCUUAGCAUGUAGUUUUCUCUGCAGCAAGUCUUCUCCAGAUCUAAAGUUAUUCAUCAAUUGAGUUCUAAGAGACUGCCUACUAGGCUUUUCCCACUCCUCAGGUAUUUCUUUCACCUUCCUGCUUCUUCUCCCCAGUCAGAAGUAACUAAAGAAUCUUAAAGGAAAUGUCAAGUUAUCUCUCAGAUUCUUCUUAAAAUCACCCCAUCUGAAUUUUAGACCAGCAAUUCAGUGCUUGCCUUCGACAGUAUUGUGUCUUCAUCCCUAAUGUCUAUAAUAUACCGUGUAGAAAUGUCCCUAGUCCCUUUCAGAUUUGAUUCUAAAUGGAAUUUCUUUAAACACACACACACACACACACACACACACACACACACACACACACACACACUUCCCUGAGAUGGGAGAAUAAGCCUGCCCAUAUCCUCCAAAUGAGCUCCAGCACAGUGAUGGGAAUGUUUCAAAGAAUCAUCCUACCUAAGAAACAUCUUUGUCAAGGGACUUCCCUAGACAAAAUCAGUGGGACAGUGUGGUGUGGGUGACCUGUUCCCUAUCUUUUUUCCAAAAGGAAGAAGAAAGGAAGCAAAAGUGACUGAAAUCUGUUUUGGUCACAUGGGGCCAUUUGGAUCCAUGACUAGGUCUCACUCAUGUUUUGCCCUCACUGCAUUACAAGAUUUGGAUUUUAGGCUUAGACUAAUUUCCUAAGUAAAUCAUCUGUGGUUUGCAGCUCAUCUGGGGCAAAGAAGGGGCUGGGAUCCUAUGCUUUGGAACAUGGAACUCAAAGAGGGCAAAGACUAAUGGUAUGUUAGGAGUGAUCUGGACCCUCUUUUGUAGCAAUGGAACCUUGGAAAUGGAGACUUUCCUGAGUCUCCAAUAUGGAAUUUAGAAGUUUUCACAUCCUCACCUGCCCUUUGAGGGCAGCCCCAUCUACUGUUGUGUAGCCCCAAUCCAUUGUUCUGUGAAUCCAUGCAGAUUUCCCUCUUCCUUGUAGGCAUGACUACUUGGAGCAAGAACAGUUCAUUGAUUCUUCAUGUCUACCUUUUGGUUGGAAAGGCACUGGGUUCUCUAGCUUUUGGUGGCCCAUACCAAGUAGACUGCUCUUUUACAGCCCUUAAAGGCUGCAGUUAUGUACUAAGACAAUAUAAGACAUUUCUUAAAAAUGAAUUUACAAUUUUAUUCUUCCUCUGUCUUGCAGAAAAUACUAUUAGAGUAUGUAAAAGCCUAGAGAUUCUUGUUACACCAUAGCCAAGGCACAAAUGUGGGGAGGAAAAUGAAUUUUUAAACCAACAGAGCACUGACUCCAGUGAAAAUCCUACUAUGGGCUGAGGCUGUCAGCAGCUCCUAGCCCCUUCCAUUUUUUUCUCAUCAGAAACUAGCAAACUCUUUCUCCAUAAGCCUGUCUUUCAGUAUGCCUGAGUAAAGAAUAUAACCCCUCCUGUUCCUUCAGGAGAAGGUGCCUUUCCACUCUAUCUCUCCUACCCUGGUUCCCAGAGCUCGCUUUCAUCCCCAGGGUCUAAUGUGAUCUUUACACCAGCCUCUUGGUGAUGCUUCUUGCUUGUUUUCUUUGUUAAAAAUCUAUGCACAUCUCAUACUUUGGCCAAGCUAAGUGUGGCAUUUAGCUCACAUUUGACAAGACUAAUUUUGUAUCCUUUAGUUUAUUGACUUCAACUUCUUCUGGGAUUAAAGGCAAUUGUUUCUUACCUUGAAUGCCUGGGGCUAGGUAUAGGGAGUAUAGAACUCCUUUUGGGAUUAAAACAUCUUCCUGUCCCCAAUUAGAAGGGCAGGUUAGUUGGGAGAGUUCAGAUGGCACAACAGAAGUCAAAACAAACACCUUGUAAACUAAGGCAGACUUGAAGGCAUAGAAAUGUAUUGUUUCUGGAAAAUAAUCCAAGGGAAUAAACGGCUUUUUGCCACUCUGCCUCCUAAGCAUCUCUUUUCUUUUCUUUCUCUAUCUAGUUCCUUAUAAUUGUUCUCUGUCUAUACUCUAUGUUAUCACUCUCUUUCCACAGUGCAGACAUCCACUCUUCAUUCUAUGCAAUUAUUAUCUCUUAAUUUUUCCUCUUUCUCCUAGCCUUGGCACUGAGGGUAUGCAUCUUCUUAGCCUGUGAUUUUGUCUUGGGAUUGAAGAGAAUUUAUUUUCAGAUUCAACCCACCCUGUUCCUAUCCCAUCCCAGUCAGAUAUAUAUUGCUGGGGAUCAACCCAAUCCUGGCCCUUUCUUCUUUGCCAUUUUCAAUCUCAGCCUAUCUUCUCAACCAUUUCCUUUAAGCUCAUGUAUCUUUGGGUUUUGUCCUUCCAAGCACUGUACAGAAUAUUCUGUGGUUCCUUUUUAGUCUGCCAUUUUGUGGAGCAAUGAAGGUGCUCACAGAUUGUUAGCUGAACAGAAAAAUCCAUCCACGAAUUCAUAUCAGCUAGAUGCUAUUAGUUGAUUUAUUUACUUUAGUCAUAGUUUAAAAAGCUGCACUAUAAUAUAAGGAGAGACUACAGGUAAUUGCUCCUGUCAUUUGGUUUGGCUGGGUUGCGAGUGGGGAAAAUGGAAAAAUCUGUUUAAACUUUUACCGCAACUUAUUAAAUAAGCUCCCUGUAAUAACCUUAUAUUUUGAGUUUACCAGCUGUUGAGUUUUUAAGAUAAAUUGGUCAGCAAUUGGAGUUUAUUUAAAUGAAAAUGGUAUUUAACCAAUCCAUACUAUACAAAGAAAUUCACUUAAUUGCAAUGUAUUUUUCCUUCAGUUAGGAUACUUACCUAAACAUUUUACUUUGACAACAACUGUUCAUGAUCCUGCACAAGCAGUUUACAUAUGAGCAAUUAGUUGGUCUAAAGAAACAGCUUCUAGGUGCUAAUUUUACAACAGACUCUAUAGCCUGGGAAUGUCAUUGCUUGGCAAUACCAUAUGGAAUGCCAAAGUCUCUAACGACUUUUCAUUUUAAGCUCUUUUAAAGGGGUUUGAGCAAGUAAGAGAUUAUGCCAGAAUGUCUCCAAUGGAUGGUCCUGUAAUAUAUUGCAGCUUGAAGCCAAUGAUCUCUUAUGACUUGUACACAACUAAUGCAUGUUUUGAUUGAAUUUUGCAUUCUUCACAUGCAGUAAGUUCUUUAAAACAUUUUUGGUCACAUUUUUGUGCCAUUAAUCUUGUACAGAAAGUGCUUUUCUGGCCAUUUUCAAAGAGGGAACGUUUAAAAUGGAAACAGCCCACCCUUUCUGCCCUAUAGCUGUAGUUAGACUUAAGUAACUGUAGCAAAACAGCUGUAAUUGGUGGUUGUAGUGUUAGAAGUGUUAGCUUGCUAGUGACUAGCUUUGGAGAGUAAAUGCAUGGUAUUAUACAAUCACAUUUCUUAAAUAACUCAUUUUAACCUCUGAAAAGAAUAUAUUCUUCCUUGUAGCCCCUCUUCCCUUUGCCCCUCUCUGCUCCCAGGUAUCUUACAAUUGUAAAUAACUGACUAACGGGCCAAUAAUUCUCACCAAGAAAAGUCAGCAAAGAACAAAUAAACCAAAAAGGGAGAGAAAGGCUUUUCUCAGCAGUCUCUCAGCAGUUAUUGACCAUUUCUCAAGGAAUGACAUGAUGAUCAAAAAUUCAGCUCCCCUCUGCAUCAAAAAAUCACUGCCAAAUUGGGAGUGUCUUUGGUCCUUGGAUUACAUUACAGAAUUGAAUAAUUCUCAGAAUUGCACAUAAUUCAAAGACAAUAGACAAUGAUGUCCCAGUAGUUUUGAGGAAUUUGGAGACAUCAAAAGGCUCAGCUUGAUCAAUGACCAAUACUUAUGUGAAACAAGAAAAGGAAAAGAAAAAAAUGCAACAAAUACUUAGGGGUUUUAGCCACCCCUUUAGAAUAAUAAUUAUAGCCAGAAACAGCAAGGACAUGAUGGGUUUAUAUGCAUUGCUGUCUAUUUCCCAGGUAAUGCCUAGCCCACUCUUAGACUGUGAUUCAAAGGCAAUAUUUCAAGGAGACAUUCUCCUUUUUGGUUUACUGUUCCCCAUUGGACUGGUGGGUUUGGUGAGGCCCAAGUAAACUGAAUGGAAAAAACCCUUUUAUUUCCUGUGCCUGGUAACAUCCCUCUUCCCUUUCCCCCUCCAUAAUUUGAUGAGGGCUCUUUGGUCAGAGGACUUCCAGGUUGUCUAGAGAAGUUACCCAUUUGUGUAAGGUGUUGUGAACUGUGAAUCCUGCAGAUAUGCGGUGUUCAACACUGGGCAGCCAAAGAGCUGCUCUUGCAAUCAUUUUGGCUCUCAACCCCCGUUCUCCAUAGCAUUCUCAUUUCUGUGUACAUUUGCAAGAUGUAUGUAAUGUGAUUUUCAA
Heterocephalus glaber (naked mole-rat) is the source of this 4707-nucleotide long non-coding RNA. The record is from Ensembl. NCBI's taxonomy places the organism in Eukaryota, Metazoa, Chordata, Mammalia, Rodentia, Bathyergidae.